This 492-nucleotide ribosomal RNA is filed under the name uncultured bacterium. RNAcentral's name for it is "partial 16S ribosomal RNA". It matches the Rfam family "Bacterial small subunit ribosomal RNA", at positions 28 to 507 of the family's 1533-position model. The record is from RNAcentral.
GAUGAACGCUGGCGGCGUGCCUAACACAUGCAAUUCGAACGACCGCACAGUAAGAUCUUUUUCUUACGUUUGGCGAGGGGCGGACGGGUAAGGGUUACAUACCUAUCUACUAUUUCGUGGUUAAUUCCGGAAACCAGCUUACACUACUACCUCAUACUUCCACCGGGUGGUUGCAAAGUGUCAUCCGGUCUUGCUCUAUUUUAUUAGCCGAUGUCGGAUUAGCUAGUUGGCUGGGUAAGGGACCACCAAGGCAACGAUCCGUAGCCGACCUGAGAGGAUGAUCGGCCACACUGGAACUGAGACACGGUCCAGACUCCUACGGGAGGCAGCAGUAGGGAAUAUUCGGCAAUGGGCGAAAGCCUGACGGAGCAACGCCGCGUGAGUGAUGAAGGUCUUCGGAUCGUAAAACUCUGUUAUUAGGGAAGAACAGAUGUGUAAGAAACUGUGCACAUCUUGACGGUACCUAAUCAGAAAGCCACGGCUAACUACGUG